CAUGCAGGCGGUUUGUUAAGCGAGAUGUGAAAGCCCCGGGCUCAACCUGGGAACUGCAUUUCGAACUGGCAAACUAGAGUUCUUGAGAGGGUGGUAGAAUUUCAGGUGUAGCGGUGAAAUGCGUAGAGAUCUGAAGGAAUACCAGUGGCGAAGGCGGCCACCUGGCAAGUAACUGACGCUCAGAUGCGAAAGCGUGGGUAGCAAACG
Molecule: ribosomal RNA, 207 nt
Filed under: uncultured bacterium
Lineage: Bacteria
Description: partial 16S ribosomal RNA
Rfam family: Bacterial small subunit ribosomal RNA
Source: RNAcentral